AUGCCUGUACUUGUUAAUCUCCAACAGAUGGAUGCACAUACUUGGCCUUUUUACUUGACGCUUUCCUGUACUAGAAGUGUCUGUUUAACCGAGCCCUCCCAGAUUUUUCUCUGUGUCUGGACUCCCGUCAACAGGAGGACAGUAGGAGUCUGGGGAACAAAAGCCAACAGCUCCACUGAUAGAAAGAAUAGCCACCCUGACAGAAGGGUGAGGUUUGUGAGAGGAACAGGAGAUUUGAUUUCUGUCCUCUCAAACAGAUGCUCCAUUCCAAAGUGCAUGCUGAAACCUGGAUAAGAAGGAAGUUCUGGUCAGCCCAGCAUUUUUCUGUUUUUCCUGUUAACAGUGCAGUGCAGAGGCAGGCAGGACACCCGGCAAAGCAGAUGCAAGAAAAGCAGAGUUUUGCUUUUUCACCCUAUAAGUGAGGUUUCACCCUAUAAGUGAUUUAGCACACCGCCCAGCAUGUAUGUCUGAGUGCAAAGAGAAAAUCUGGUGGAAAAUCAUUGAAUAACUGGAUGCAUAGCAGUAAGCAGUAGUAACAGCACCUGUUAAAGCAGAUAGCCUGUUCAUGAGCUGGACCUGAGAAUGCAGAAGGAACCUGAGGUAUCUCUGCAUUCUCCAUGCUUCUAGAGACAUUAAUGGCUACAGGAAAUGAUGGUCAACCUAUGGAGAAUCAAGAAAUGGGUGGGGAUUGAGACUUUGCCUUUUGCCUUUGUGACCUGAAGAGGUGAAUAAUUCUUUGGGGAAACUGGUAGUUAAGGGAGAAUCAUAUGUGUAUUAACUAUAUAUAGUAAGUGGUUAUUGCUGUGCCUUUGUUAACUGUUUAAUAAAUGUAUAUGGAGUUCAUUCACAGUGUUUUGACUCUUCUCAAUUUCUGUUUACAAAGUCCCAGGUGAAAGAAAUCCAUUUAAUGGGUUGUUUUAAUAGGAAAGCCUGAACUCACAUGGAUCCAAGGAGUCAAUGGUCACAAUCAGGGGCUUCCCAGUAGGGGCUGCCAAUAAAUGAGGCAUCUGAGCUAACCGGCACACCUCAGUGCGGCUGGUUUACAGGACCUCCUAAAUAUCAAGCAAGUGUUUAUCAUAAACCAAGCACCAGCCAAUGGUAGACAUCCCUGCAAUAUAAGCAAGCCCCUUCUCCUGAUGGGAAUCACCAGAGAUAGUCUAGAAUCUGAAGAUACUGAGGACCUCAAGAGCCACUGGGUGGAGGCUGUGGGGCCAGAGGAGCUCC
Molecule: long non-coding RNA, 1224 nt
Filed under: Bos grunniens (domestic yak)
Lineage: Eukaryota; Metazoa; Chordata; Mammalia; Artiodactyla; Bovidae
Description: lncRNA (ENSBGRG00000025256.1)
Source: RNAcentral